GGAAUUUUCCGCAAUGGGCGAAAGCCUGACGGAGCAACGCCGCGUGAGGGAUGAAGGCCUCUGGGCUGUAAACCUCUUUUAUCAAGGAAGAAGAUCUGACGGUACUUGAUGAAUAAGCCACGGCUAAUUCCGUGCCAGCAGCCGCGGUAAUACGGGAGUGGCAAGCGUUAUCCGGAAUUAUUGGGCGUAAAGCGUCCGCAGGCGGCCUCGUAAGUCUGUCGUUAAAGCGUGGAGCUUAACUCCAUUAAGGCGAUGGAAACUGUGAGGCUUGAGUGUGGUAGGGGCAGAGGGAAUUCCCGGUGUAGCGGUGAAAUGCGUAGAUAUCGGGAAGAACACCAGUGGCGAAGGCGCUCUGCUGGGCCAUAACUGACGCUCAUGGACGAAAGCCAGGGGAGCGAAAGGGAUUAGAUACCCCAGUAGUC
RNAcentral lists this ribosomal RNA (422 nucleotides) under uncultured cyanobacterium. RNAcentral describes it as "bacterial SSU rRNA". It matches the Rfam family "Bacterial small subunit ribosomal RNA", at positions 358 to 795 of the family's 1533-position model. The record is from RNAcentral. Lineage: Bacteria; Bacillati; Cyanobacteriota.